This 1879-nucleotide ribosomal RNA is filed under the name Brasilonema geniculatum HWSC1. Its description in RNAcentral is "bacterial SSU rRNA". The stretch from base 1 to 1434 matches the Rfam family "Bacterial small subunit ribosomal RNA". Lineage: Bacteria; Bacillati; Cyanobacteriota; Cyanophyceae; Nostocales; Scytonemataceae. The record is from RNAcentral.
UGCAGUCGAACGGAGUUCUUCGGAACUUAGUGGCGGACGGGUGAGUAACGCGUGAGAAUCUGGCUUCAGGUUCGGGACAACAGUCGGAAACGAUUGCUAAUACCGGAUGUGCCCUAGGGUGAAAGAUUUAUCACCUGAAGAUGAGCUCGCGUCUGAUUAGCUAGUUGGUGUGGUAAGAGCGCACCAAGGCACCGAUCAGUAGCUGGUCUGAGAGGAUGACCAGCCACACUGGGACUGAGACACGGCCCAGACUCCUACGGGAGGCAGCAGUGGGGAAUUUUCCGCAAUGGGCGAAAGCCUGACGGAGCAAUACCGCGUGAGGGAGGAAGGCUCUUGGGUUGUAAACCUCUUUUCUCAGGGAAUAAGUACUGAAGGUACCUGAGGAAUCAGCAUCGGCUAACUCCGUGCCAGCAGCCGCGGUAAUACGGAGGAUGCAAGCGUUAUCCGGAAUGAUUGGGCGUAAAGCGUCCGCAGGUGGUUUUUCAAGUCUGCUGUCAAAGAAUCUGGCUCAACCAGAUAAAGGCAGUGGAAACUGAAAGACUAGAGUAUGGUAGGGGUAGAGGGAAUUCCUGGUGUAGCGGUGAAAUGCGUAGAGAUCAGGAAGAACACCGGUGGCGAAAGCGCUCUGCUGGACCAUAACUGACACUGAGGGACGAAAGCUAGGGGAGCGAAUGGGAUUAGAUACCCCAGUAGUCCUAGCCGUAAACGAUGGAUACUAGGCGUUGCCCGUAUCGACCCGGGCAGUGUCGUAGCCAACGCGUUAAGUAUCCCGCCUGGGGAGUACGCACGCAAGUGUGAAACUCAAAGGAAUUGACGGGGGCCCGCACAAGCGGUGGAGUAUGUGGUUUAAUUCGAUGCAACGCGAAGAACCUUACCAGGGCUUGACAUGUCCGGAAUCUUCUGGAAACGGAAGAGUGCCUACGGGAGCCGGAACACAGGUGGUGCAUGGCUGUCGUCAGCUCGUGUCGUGAGAUGUUGGGUUAAGUCCCGCAACGAGCGCAACCCUCGUUCUUAGUUGCCAGCAAUUCGGUUGGGCACUCUAGGGAGACUGCCGGUGACAAACCGGAGGAAGGUGGGGAUGACGUCAAGUCAGCAUGCCCCUUACGUCCUGGGCUACACACGUACUACAAUGCUGUGACAAAGGGCAGCAAGCUAGCAAUAGCAAGCAAAUCCCAUAAACCACGGCUCAGUUCAGAUCGCAGGCUGCAACUCGCCUGCGUGAAGGAGGAAUCGCUAGUAAUUGCAGGUCAGCAUACUGCAGUGAAUUCGUUCCCGGGCCUUGUACACACCGCCCGUCACACCAUGGAAGCUGGUCACGCCCGAAGUCGUUACCCUAACCCCUCGGGGAGGGGGAUGCCGAAGGUAGGACUGGGGACUGGGGCGAUUUGGUAACAAGGUAGCCGUACCGGAAGGUGUGGCUGGAUCACCUCCUUUUUAGGGAGACCCACUUUUGAGUUAGUUAGAAGCAGUUAAUUAGUAACUGAUAACUCAAGAGCCAUCCCGAGGUCGGUCAUUAGUCAAGAGUGCAAGCUUUCAAACUAUUUUUGGUUCACCUCAAUUUUCUAGCAUAAACUCAAAAAUAAAUUUAAUUUCUUAGCUAUGCCUAACAUAUUUGAUUUGUGGAUAUUUUAAGUAACGGCUAGACUAUUUACUGAUAGACAGUAUAUUUAAGGGAAUAAGGUUUCAGCAUCUUGUGAAGAUAAGCAUGAAUGCUGGGAAAUUUCCAGCAAAAGAACCUUGAAAACUGCAUAGAAACGCGAAAAAUGUCAGGUAGUUAACUAUCAACAACAGUUAACACUCCAAGCAAAAGCAGCAUUGAUUUGUUUGUAGUCUAGCAAGAAAAGGCGAAUGGUGGAUACCUUGGCACACAGAGGUGAAG